CCUACGGGAGGCAGCAGUGGGGAAUAUUGGACAAUGGGCGAAAGCCUGAUCCAGCCAUGCCGCGUGUGUGAAGAAGGCCUUCGGGUUGUAAAGCACUUUUGGCGGGAACGAAAAGGACUGUGCCAAUACCACGGUUCGAUGACGGUACCCGCAGAAUAAGCACCGGCUAACUACGUGCCAGCAGCCGCGGUAAUACGUAGGUCCCGAGCGUUGUCCGGAUUUAUUGGGCGUAAAGCGAGCGCAGGCGGUUUGAUAAGUCUGAAGUUAAAGGCUGUGGCUCAACC
This 284-nucleotide ribosomal RNA is filed under the name uncultured Symbiodinium. RNAcentral describes it as "partial Bacterial small subunit ribosomal RNA". It matches the Rfam family "Bacterial small subunit ribosomal RNA", at positions 338 to 614 of the family's 1533-position model. Lineage: Eukaryota; Dinophyceae; Suessiales; Symbiodiniaceae. The record is from RNAcentral.